RNAcentral lists this non-coding RNA (30 nucleotides) under Rattus norvegicus (Norway rat). The record is from RNAcentral. Lineage: Eukaryota; Metazoa; Chordata; Mammalia; Rodentia; Muridae.
UCACCAGUCUCCUACAGUGGGAACCAGUCC